CCAUUUCUUCAGGAUAACCCAAGCCAAGCAGCCUGCCGUCACCUGAGAGAAAGUAUCUUGGCGCUUUGUAAAAGUCAUUUCACUGUGAGUCCCAAGAGAGACGACUGCAGAACAAAACUGGACAAAGAGUACAUUUGAAAAGAAAACCUCUUCAAGACUAUGGGAAUUUCUGAAGACGGAUUUUUCCUUUAUAAUGAUUAAAAAUAGUUUGGGCUGCA
Dipodomys ordii (Ord's kangaroo rat) is the source of this 218-nucleotide long non-coding RNA. RefSeq lists it as uncharacterized. Lineage: Eukaryota; Metazoa; Chordata; Mammalia; Rodentia; Heteromyidae. The transcript has 3 exons. The record is from RefSeq and is a predicted model, not a curated record.